RNAcentral lists this ribosomal RNA (383 nucleotides) under uncultured bacterium. RNAcentral describes it as "bacterial SSU rRNA". It matches the Rfam family "Bacterial small subunit ribosomal RNA", at positions 30 to 412 of the family's 1533-position model. The record is from RNAcentral.
AUUGAACGCUGGCGGCAUGCCUUACACAUGCAAGUCGAACGGCAGGCACGGGGGCAACCCUGGUGGCGAGUGGCGAACGGGUGAGUAAUAUAUCGGAACGUGCCCUAGAGUGGGGGAUAACGUAGCGAAAGUUACGCUAAUACCGCAUACGAUCUAUGGAUGAAAGUGGGGGAUCGCAAGAUCUCAUGCUCGUGGAGCGGCCGAUAUCUGAUUAGCAGUUGGUAGGGUAAAAGCCUACCAAGGCAUCGAUCAGUAGCUGGUUUGAGAGAACGACCAGCCACACCUGGGACUGAGACACGGCCCAGACUCCUACGGGAGGCAGCAGUGGGGAAUUUUGGACAAUGGGGGCAACCCUGAUCCAGCAAUGCCGCGUGAGUGAAGAA